This 500-nucleotide ribosomal RNA is filed under the name uncultured bacterium. RNAcentral describes it as "partial 16S ribosomal RNA". It matches the Rfam family "Bacterial small subunit ribosomal RNA", at positions 30 to 523 of the family's 1533-position model. The record is from RNAcentral.
AUUGAACGCUGGCGGCAGGCUUAACACAUGCAAGUCGAGCGGGGGAAGGUAGCUUGCUACCGGACCUAGCGGCGGACGGGUGAGUAUGCUUAGGAAUCUGCCUAUUAGUGGGGGACAACAUCUCGAAAGGGAUGCUAAUACCGCAUACGUCCUACGGGAGAAAGCAGGGGAUCUUCGGACCUUGCGUCAAUAGGUGGACCUAAGUCGGAUUAGGUAGUUGGUUGGGUAAAGGACUACCAAGGCGACGAUCUGUAGCGGGUCUGAGAGGAUGAUCCGCCACACCGGGACGGAGACACGGCCCAGACUCCUACGGGAGGCAGCAGUGGGGAAUAUUGGACAAUGGGGGGAACCCUGAUCCAGCCAUGCCGCGUGUGUGAAGAAGGCCUUAUGGUUGUAAAGCACUUUAAGCGAGGAGGAGGCUACUUUAGUUAAUACCUAGAGAUAGUGGACGUUACUCGCAGAAUAAGCACCGGCUAACUCUGUGCCAGCCGCCGCCGUAA